This 392-nucleotide ribosomal RNA is filed under the name Pedobacter agri. RNAcentral's name for it is "bacterial SSU rRNA". It matches the Rfam family "Bacterial small subunit ribosomal RNA", at positions 136 to 526 of the family's 1533-position model. Lineage: Bacteria; Pseudomonadati; Bacteroidota; Sphingobacteriia; Sphingobacteriales; Sphingobacteriaceae. The record is from RNAcentral.
UGGGGGGAUAGCCCGGAUCAAUCCGGAUUAAUACCGCAUAAAAUCACAGGAUGGCAUUAUCCAAUGAUCAAACAUUUAUGGGAUGGAGAUGGGCAUGCGUGUCAUUAGCUAGUUGGCGGGGUAACGGCCCACCAAGGCGACGAUGACUAGGGGAUCUGAGAGGAUGGCCCCCCACACUGGUACUGAGACACGGACCAGACUCCUACGGGAGGCAGCAGUAAGGAAUAUUGGUUAAUGGAGGCAACUCUGAACCAGCCAUGCCGCGUGCAGGAAGACUGCCCUAUGGGUUGUAAACUGCUUUUAUUCGGGAAUAAACCUAUUUACGUGUAAAUAGCUGAAUGUACCGAAGGAAUAAGGAUCGGCUAACUCCGUGCCAGCCGCCGCGGUAAUAC